RNAcentral lists this ribosomal RNA (498 nucleotides) under uncultured bacterium. RNAcentral's name for it is "partial 16S ribosomal RNA". It matches the Rfam family "Bacterial small subunit ribosomal RNA", at positions 28 to 506 of the family's 1533-position model. The record is from RNAcentral.
GACGAACGCUGGCGGCGUGCCUAAUACAUGCAAGUCGUGCGGACCUUUUAAAAGCUUGCUUUUAAAAGGUUAGCGGCGGACGGGUGAGUAACACGUGGGCAACCUGCCUGUAAGACUGGGAUAACGCCGGGAAACCGGGGCUAAUACCAGAUCGUUUUUUCCUCCGCAUGGAGGAAAAAGGAAAGGCGGCUUCGGCUGCCACUUACAGAUGGGCCCGCGGCGCAUUAGCUAGUUGGCGGGGUAACGGCCCACCAAGGCAACGAUGCGUAGCCGACCUGAGAGGGUGAUCGGCCACAUUGGGACUGAGACACGGCCCAAACUCCUACGGGAGGCAGCAGUAGGGAAUCUUCCGCAAUGGACGAAAGUCUGACGGAGCAACGCCGCGUGAGUGAAGAAGGCCUUCGGGUCGUAAAACUCUGUUGCCGGGGAAGAACAAGUGCCGUUCGAACAGGGCGGCGCCUUGACGGUACCCGGCCAGAAAGCCACGGCUAACUACGU